UACAGAGACUGCAAGCGUUAUUCGGAUUCACUGGGCGUAAAGGGUGCGCAGGCGGCCAAGUGUGUGAGGCGUUGAAAGCCCGGGGCUUAACCCCGGAAUUGCACCUCAAACUACAUGGCUAGAGCAUUGGAGAGGGUAGCGGAAUUCACGGUGUAGCAGUGAAAUGCGUAGAUAUCGUGAGGAACACCAGAGGCGAAGGCGGCUACCUGGACAAUUGCUGACGCUCAGGCACGAAAGCGUGGGGAGCAAAAGGG
This 254-nucleotide ribosomal RNA is filed under the name uncultured bacterium. RNAcentral describes it as "partial 16S ribosomal RNA". It matches the Rfam family "Bacterial small subunit ribosomal RNA", at positions 524 to 776 of the family's 1533-position model. The record is from RNAcentral.